This is a long non-coding RNA of Morone saxatilis (striped sea-bass), 511 nucleotides long. RefSeq lists it as uncharacterized. Lineage: Eukaryota; Metazoa; Chordata; Actinopteri; Moronidae. The transcript is spliced from 3 exons. The record is from RefSeq and is a predicted model, not a curated record.
GUGUCCACACCGCUUGCUGAUGGUGAUUCACCGACAGAGGCUUUUCUGUUUUGGAGGCGAGAACUAAAGGCUAUAGAAGCUCCUCAUCCAGCGGCUGCCCCGCGCUGAUUCGGCCGGUAUUCUGCACCUCUCGUCCAGCGGCACAUCUCCGCCUCCUCUCUGGGGCUUGUUCGGGUAACCGGGGGAGAAAAACGGAGAGAUGCGCGCAGGGUCCUUGAACGCCACAAAGAAGUUCCCGAGGCUGACAGAAAGAGGACUCUCCUGUUGAUUCAGCUCUUCUUUCCACCCCACACAUUUCAGGAAUAUUCCAGGAGAACACUUCCCACCUCUAUAUGGCAAAGUUCCUGGCUGAAUUACUGGGAUGCACACUUCCAGACAAGGGCACUCCACCUUUGUUCGAGUGUCGCCAAUCCCAUCUCGGACUGAGGCCUUCCUCCAAACCGCGGCCAACAAUUUUUGGGACAUUAACCAAUGAGAGAGCACUGUUUGACUGCAGACUGGUGAGUCACCU